AGAGUUUGAUCAUGGCUCAGGAUGAACGCUAGCUACAGGCUUAACACAUGCAAGUCGAGGGGAAACGACAUCGAAAGCUUGCUUUUGAUGGUCGUCGACCGGCGCACGGGUGAGUAACGCGUAUGCAACUUGCCUAUCAGAGGGGGAUAACCCGGCGAAAGUCGGACUAAUACCGCAUGAAGCAGGGGCCCCGCAUGGGGAUAUUUGCUAAAGAUUCAUCGCUGAUAGAUAGGCAUGCGUUCCAUUAGGCAGUUGGCGGGGUAACGGCCCACCAAACCGACGAUGGAUAGGGGUUCUGAGAGGAAGGUCCCCCACAUUGGUACUGAGACACGGACCAAACUCCUACGGGAGGCAGCA
Molecule: ribosomal RNA, 357 nt
Filed under: uncultured bacterium
Lineage: Bacteria
Description: bacterial SSU rRNA
Rfam family: Bacterial small subunit ribosomal RNA
Source: RNAcentral